RNAcentral lists this transfer RNA (70 nucleotides) under Podarcis lilfordi (Lilford's wall lizard). RNAcentral's name for it is "tRNA.Ala". It matches the Rfam family "tRNA". Rfam says of the family: Transfer RNA (tRNA) molecules are approximately 80 nucleotides in length. Their secondary structure includes four short double-helical elements and three loops (D, anti-codon, and T loops). Further hydrogen bonds mediate the characteristic L-shaped molecular structure. tRNAs have two regions of fundamental functional importance: the anti-codon, which is responsible for specific mRNA codon recognition, and the 3' end, to which the tRNAs corresponding amino acid is attached (by aminoacyl-tRNA synthetases). tRNAs cope with the degeneracy of the genetic code in two manners: having more than one tRNA (with a specific anti-codon) for a particular amino acid; and 'wobble' base-pairing, i.e. permitting non-standard base-pairing at the 3rd anti-codon position. Lineage: Eukaryota; Metazoa; Chordata; Lepidosauria; Squamata; Lacertidae. The record is from RNAcentral.
GCCAUAGCUCAGUGGUUUGAGCAUCUGGUUUGCAUGCAGAAGGUCCCAGGUUCAGUCCCUGGUAUCUCCA